This 460-nucleotide ribosomal RNA is filed under the name uncultured bacterium. RNAcentral describes it as "partial 16S ribosomal RNA". It matches the Rfam family "Bacterial small subunit ribosomal RNA", at positions 338 to 795 of the family's 1533-position model. The record is from RNAcentral.
CCUACGGGUGGCAGCAGUGAGGAAUAUUGGUCAAUGGGCUUACGCCUGAACCAGCCAAGUCGCGUGAGGGAAAAAUGCUCUAUGGGUUGUAAACCUCUUUUGUCAGGGAGCAACGCCGGCUACGUGUAGCCCGACUGAGAGUACUUGAAGAAAAAGCAUCGGCUAACUCCGUGCCAGCAGCCGCGGUAAUACGGGGGAUGCGAGCGUUAUCUGGAUUGUUGGGGUUAAAAGGUUGCGUGGGCGGAAUGCAAAGUCAGCGGUAAAGUCGCGGGGCUCAACCUCGCUCCGCCGUUGAAACUGGCGUUCUUGAGUGUGCGAGAGGUAUGCGGAAUGCGUGGUGUAGCGGUGAAAUGCAUAGAUAUCACGCAGAACUCCGAUUGCGAAGGCAGCAUACCGGCGCCCAACUGACGCUGAAGCACGAAAGCGUGGGGAUCGAACAGGAUUAGAUACCCGUGUAGUC